GUGCCAGCCGCCGCGGUAAUACGUAGGGCGCGAGCGUUGUCCGGAAUUAUUGGGCGUAAAGAGCUCGUAGGCGGCCUGUCGCGUCAAUUGUGAAAGCCCGGGACUCAACCCCGGGUCUGCAGUCGAUACGGGCAGGCUAGAGUUCGGUAGGGGAGAUCGGAAUUCCUGGUGUAGCGGUGAAAUGCGCAGAUAUCAGGAGGAACACCGGUGGCGAAGGCGGAUCUCUGGGCCGACACUGACGCUGAGGAGCGAAAGCGUGGGGAGCGAACAGGAUUAGAAACCCUCGUAGUCC
RNAcentral lists this ribosomal RNA (292 nucleotides) under uncultured bacterium. RNAcentral's name for it is "partial 16S ribosomal RNA". It matches the Rfam family "Bacterial small subunit ribosomal RNA", at positions 505 to 796 of the family's 1533-position model. The record is from RNAcentral.